GAUGAACGCUGGCGGCGUGCCUAAUACAUGCAAGUCGAGCGAACAGACGAGGAGCUUGCUCCUCUGACGUUAGCGGCGGACGGGUGAGUAACACGUGGAUUACCUACCUAUAAGACUGGGAUAACUUCGGGAAACCGGAGCUAAUACCGGAUAAUAUAUUGAACCGCAUGGUUCAAUAGUGAGAGACGGUUUUGCUGUCACUUAUAGGUGGAUCCGCGCCGCAUUAGCUAGUUGGUAAGGUAACGGCUUACCAAGGCGACGAUGCGUAGCCGACCUGAGAGGGUGAUCGGCCACACUGGAACUGAGACACGGUCCAGACUCCUACGGGAGGCAGCAGUAGGGAAUCUUCCGCAAUGGGCGAAAGCCUGACGGAGCAACGCCGCGUGAGUGAUGAAGGUCUUCGGAUCGUAAAACUCUGUUAUUAGGGAAGAACAAAUGUGUAAGUAACUAUGCACGUCUUGACGGUACCUAAUCAGAAAGCCACGGCUAACUACGUG
This 497-nucleotide ribosomal RNA is filed under the name uncultured bacterium. Its description in RNAcentral is "partial 16S ribosomal RNA". It matches the Rfam family "Bacterial small subunit ribosomal RNA", at positions 28 to 507 of the family's 1533-position model. The record is from RNAcentral.